RNAcentral lists this ribosomal RNA (254 nucleotides) under uncultured prokaryote. RNAcentral's name for it is "partial 16S ribosomal RNA". It matches the Rfam family "Bacterial small subunit ribosomal RNA", at positions 525 to 777 of the family's 1533-position model. The record is from RNAcentral.
ACGGGGGGAGCAAGCGUUGUUCGGAUUUACUGGGCGUAAAGGGCGCGUAGGCGGCCACCGCGAGUCGACUGUGAAAUCUCCGGGCUUAACCCGGAAAGGUCAGCCGAUACUGCGGGGCUAGAGUGCAGAAGGGGCAACUGGAAUUCCCGGUGUAGCAGUGAAAUGCGUAGAGAUCGGGAGGAACACCAGUGGCGAAGACGACUGUCUGGGGAGCAACUGACGCUGAGGCGCGAAAGCUGGGGGAGCAAACGGGA